RNAcentral lists this long non-coding RNA (491 nucleotides) under Vombatus ursinus (common wombat). Its description in RNAcentral is "lncRNA (ENSVURG00010002334.1)". The record is from RNAcentral. Lineage: Eukaryota; Metazoa; Chordata; Mammalia; Diprotodontia; Vombatidae.
GCCCGGUCUGCGAUCUGCCUUCUUUCCUCCGCUCUCCUCCAGGAGGCUACAGCCCGAAGCGCCCGCAGUGCCCAGGGAGUACCUGGCUUCCGUGCCCGCCAGUCUCAGCCUCCUCCCGGGGUAGCUCGGGGACUGGAGGCUGCAGGAAGGGGACCAGUUUUUACUCUGGUCAGCCUGGUUGUUUCUCCAUUUCUGACGUUCCCCGAAGGAGACGCUGAGGAUUGGUUGACAAAUCAGAUGUGUGGUGCACGGACGUUUCCAGCAAGGUCAACUGGAAGACUCAUGUCCAGAGUGGAGACAGCUUGCCCCAACAGGCAGAGGUGAAGCUGGCUCCGGAGACGCAUCGGGCAGAGGGUGGUGGCGCCAAGCUUGGUGGAGCCCAGUUAAAUCUGGCACAUCUGUCCCAGGCCUCCUGAUGGUUGGAAGGUAAGGCUCCCACCAUCCUGUUAUGUGGCUUAGAAAGGGAAGCAGCUUGGCCAAAGUCACACAGU